GAGAGUUGGGUAGUCCGCACGAGCGCACCUCACUUUUAGUUGCCAUCAUUAAGUUGGGCACUCUGAAAGAACUGCCAGUGAUAAGCUGGAGGAAGGUGGGGAUGACGUCAAGUCCUCAUGGCCCUUACGUGUUGGGCUACACACGUGCUACAAUGGUAUCUACAACAGGAAGCAAGACUGCGAGGUCAAGCAAAUCCUUAAAAGAUACCUCAGUUCGGAUUGCACUCUGCAACUCGAGUGCAUGAAGCUGGAAUUACUAGUAAUCGUGGAUCAGCGUGCCACGGUGAAUGCGUUCCCGGGUCUUGUACACACCGCCCGUCACACCAUGGGAGUUGGUUCUACCUUAAGGCAAGGUUUCAAACCCUUGACCACGGUAUAGUCAGCGACUGGGGUGAAGUCGUAACAAGGUAGCCGUAGGGGAACCUGCGGCUGGAUUACCUCCUUUCU
Molecule: ribosomal RNA, 447 nt
Filed under: uncultured Pelagibacterales bacterium
Lineage: Bacteria; Pseudomonadati; Pseudomonadota; Alphaproteobacteria; Candidatus Pelagibacterales
Description: bacterial SSU rRNA
Rfam family: Bacterial small subunit ribosomal RNA
Source: RNAcentral